UUGCUGUAGUAUUUUGACUAUACAAAGGUAUUGAAAUAAGACUUUAAUUGAGUGCUAAGAGAAUGGAGAUACAGAUAAAUUCUUUUUUAGUUUCAAAAAUUGAAGUUAUUUUUAUAUGUGAAGAAACAAUAAUUACAACUAAGGACAAGAAGACCCUAAGAAUUUUUAAAAAAACUGGUAUUGAAAUAUUAGUUUUUUUUUAAUUGGGGCGAUUAAUAAAAAUUAAAAACUUUAUUUAAAAUUGAUAAAAUGAUCCAAAAUUAUUGAUUGUAUGUAAAAAUACUCUAGGGAUAACAGCGUAAUAAUUUUAGAUAGUUCAUAUAGACAAAGUAGUUUGCGACCUCGAUGUUGGAUUAGGAUUCUUUUUUAAUGAAGAAGUUAAAAGAAGAAGUUUGUUCAACUUUUAAAUUCC
RNAcentral lists this ribosomal RNA (412 nucleotides) under Amblyomma goeldii. RNAcentral describes it as "partial 16S ribosomal RNA". Lineage: Eukaryota; Metazoa; Arthropoda; Arachnida; Ixodida; Ixodidae. The record is from RNAcentral.